This 210-nucleotide non-coding RNA is filed under the name Alkaliphilus metalliredigens. RNAcentral's name for it is "T-box sequence". It matches the Rfam family "T-box leader". From Rfam's summary of the family: Uncharged tRNA acts as the effector for transcription antitermination of genes in the T-box leader family. The record is from RNAcentral. Lineage: Bacteria; Bacillati; Bacillota; Clostridia; Peptostreptococcales; Natronincolaceae.
AAAAGUGCGGUGACGGAGAAUAGUAUAAAAGUAAUGUUUUACAGAGAAUAAGGUAAUGGUGAGAGCCUUGUAGACUAGCUUUUUGAACCCACUCUAGAGCAGGUGAUGACUAAGUCACUACGGGGAUAAUCACGUUAAGAUUAUACUAAGAGAGUCAAUUUCACGAUUGGCUAAUUAGGGUGGUAACGCGGGUAAGCACUCGUCCCUUUC